Molecule: non-coding RNA, 425 nt
Organism: Neofelis nebulosa (Clouded leopard)
Lineage: Eukaryota; Metazoa; Chordata; Mammalia; Carnivora; Felidae
Source: the annotation of a RefSeq genome assembly
AUGGCCUGGACUCUGAUCCUUCUCACCCUCCUCACCCAGGACACAGGGUCCUGGGCCCAGUCUGCCCUGACUCAGUCUCUCUCAGUGUCUGGGCUCUGGGCCAGACAAUUACCAUCUCUUGUUCUGGAAGCAACAAUGACAUUCAGGGUUAUAAGGAUGUCCCCUGGUACCAACAGCUCUCAGCCACAUCCCCCAAACUCCUGUUUUAUCAUGUACAUUCUCAGGCUUCAGGGAUCCCUGAUCGCUUCUCUGGCUCCAAGUCUGGCAACACAGCCACCCUGACCAUCUCUGGGCUUCAGGCUGAGGACAAGGCUGAUUAUUACUGUUGUUUAUAUACAGACAGUGGCACUUACACAGUGGCCCAAGUUCAUGGGGGAGGUAAGACCAAAACCUUCCCUGGGGGCACAGCUCCCUCCUUGCUUUAA